UACGUAGGUGGCAAGCGUUGUCCGGAAUUAUUGGGCGUAAAGCGCGCGCAGGCGGUCCUUUAAGUCUGAUGUGAAAGCCCACGGCUCAACCGUGGAGGGUCAUUGGAAACUGGGGAACUUGAGUGCAGAAGAGAAAAGCGGAAUUCCACGUGUAGCGGAUGAAAUGCGUAGAGAUGUGGAGGAACACCAGUGGCGAAGGCGGCUUUUUGGUCUGUAACUGACGCUGAGGCGCGAAAGCG
Molecule: ribosomal RNA, 239 nt
Filed under: uncultured bacterium
Lineage: Bacteria
Description: partial 16S ribosomal RNA
Rfam family: Bacterial small subunit ribosomal RNA
Source: RNAcentral